GGCAAAGGAAGGAAAGAACAUUUGGGACCACUAAGCAGUUCCCAAAGCAAAUGGAACCAGAAAAGGGCACAGGUGCCUGGGAGCAGGAAGGAGGAGGGCAGAAAUGACAGCCAGUUAGGAAUUGGAGGUUAAAAAUGAACUUUGCCUACUGCCUAGGAGAGCCCUGCUUAGUAAUGAGUUCUUCACAAGGAAUUAAAGAACUCUAAGAACCCUAGGUUCUCUUAAGGGUGAAAGAAUCUUAAAGAUCAUCUAAUUCCCCAAAGGUGUGUCAACCUCCCCUGGAUAUUUGCAUUUUGAGAGCAAGCCCGACACCUCAGACUAGAUGACUUACCUUUCCUUUGAAGAACUAACUUACUCUCCCCAAGUCAGAGAGUAGCUAACAGGAUGAAACAUUGUGUGUCUUGAGGGUAGGUCAUCCGUGGAGGCUUGGGCCCCAGUGUCUUAGCCAUUGGGCACAGAUGGCUGAGGUCCCUGGGAGCCGUCCUCCACCCUAGCCCGUCCCCCACCAGGAGCUCUGAGGAGGAACCAAGAACAUCUGCCAUCUUACUCUUGACCUCUGUCUUCCUUGGCUUGGAAAUCAAGGAUGAUAAAAGUGUGCAGUUGGCCACAGGGAACUGGGCCCUAGAUUUUUCCAGACUCUACACUCACCUCCAGACCUCUGGGCCUCAGGGAAGAGGAAAUAUUCAAAGAGCUCAGAUUGUAGCUGAGGUGGAAAUGGCUGAUAAUAGCACGAUCUGCCACUCUCCCAGGUGUUGACAUUUGCAUUGUAAUGGAGGCGGUUAAUGCCUUCAGCUGGAGUGACUAAUAUGUUCUUUCAGUUGCUGCUGGAAGUACAGGGAGAGCCUUUGCGGCCCAGGGCCUUUUAAUGCCCUCUAGUCACAAUACUAGAUCACUCCUGAUUCACAGCUGCCAACCCUUUGGAUUGUAAUGCCCACAUUCCAUGCUUUAUCUGUGUUCCUGUUCUUGACUUUGCUUUCUUGCACUUUCUCCUGAAUCCUUUUUUCCUAGAAGUAUGGGAACAUCCCCAUGAGUCACUUAUUCUUUCAACACACAUAAACUGAUUACCCAUUUCAAGCAGAAAACUAUGCUGGACAUAGUCGAGUGGGGGGAGCCCAAGAAGUAUGCCAGCAAGAUGCCAUCCCCAAGAAGUCAGAGGUGAGGAAAUCACAGAAAGAGCUGGAGAACAGCACAGUGCCAGCAGAGCUGGGCUUUGCAGCAUAUGCCAAGUACUUCUUGAACAAACAGACGGCUGAGAACUAAUAGGAGAAAGUAUUCUUAUAGGCGGGGGGAGCAAGAGGCUUCUGGGAGAUGUGAGAAGGGGACAGAAGUGUGUGUGGGAGUUGGAUAUACAACAACUGGAUGGAGUUUUGAGGAUUCAAAACAUUCCUCUAGUCACAAAAGACCAUGUAUUGUAUGAUCCACAUAUUAUAUGAAAUGUCCAAAAGAGGCAAAUCUAUAGAAACAGAAAAGAGAUCAUUGAGUGCCUAGAGCUGAGGGGAAAUGGGUGUAGGAGAUGGGGAUUAAUUGCUAAUGAGUACAAUGGGAUGGUGAAAGCUGUUCUAAGAUUGUGGUGAUGGUUCCACAACUCUAAAUAUACUAAAAAAAAAUUUGAAUUUCAUACUUUAAAUGGAUGAACUUUAUGGAAUGCAAAUUAUAUCUUAAUAAAGCUGUUUAAAAAUGGGGGAAAAGUGGGAUCCAAAAAGACCAUUCCUUCAGUAAUCCUGCUUAGUUAUAGAAGGAACACCCUAGUUUUAAGUUCCUAGUCUUUUCCUGUAUGAAGGCUCUUUUUUUUUUUCUCCUGGCCUCACCACACGGCUUGUGGGAUUUUAGUUCCCUGACCAGGGAUUGAACCCGGGCCCUCAGCUGGGAGAGCAUGGAGUCCUAACCACUGGAUUGCCAGGGAAUUCCCCGAAGGCUCAUUUUUAAGGCAAAAUGGCACCCUUUCUCCUCCCAAACCAAUGAGCUUCGCUGAGAGCAGAUCCAGCACAGAAGACAGCCAGAGCCAUGCCGGUUGGCAGACACUUGUCUUCAGCAAAUGUAAUUAAAGGCAGCAGCAAGCAUCCCACCUGAUGAGAAAACAGUCUUUCCACUCAACACAGAGGACCGAGGGAAGAGCGCUAAACUUGGGGUCAGAAUACCUGGAGGGUCUACACCAGCUCUACCACUUUCCAGCUGUGUGAUAUCCGACAAGUCACACGUCACCUCUCUGAACUGCAGUCCCAGCAAGGGUAACUGCUCUCCUACCCUUCACGAUUUGUUAUGAGGAUCCGGACAAUGAUGUGAAAUUCCUUUUCAAAUUAUUCACCAUUCUGUAAAAUGGGAAUCAUUCUUAAUAA
Molecule: long non-coding RNA, 2336 nt
Organism: Balaenoptera acutorostrata (minke whale)
Lineage: Eukaryota; Metazoa; Chordata; Mammalia; Artiodactyla; Balaenopteridae
Exons: 3
Source: RefSeq, a predicted model, not a curated record